GGCCUGAUGGUCUAGUAGUAUGAUUCCUUGUUAGGGUUUAUUCAAUCUCGAGGAGGUCCCGGGUUCAAUUCCCGGUCAGGCCC
This 83-nucleotide transfer RNA is filed under the name Crucibulum laeve. RNAcentral describes it as "tRNA-Pro". It matches the Rfam family "tRNA". From Rfam's summary of the family: Transfer RNA (tRNA) molecules are approximately 80 nucleotides in length. Lineage: Eukaryota; Fungi; Basidiomycota; Agaricomycetes; Agaricales; Nidulariaceae. The record is from RNAcentral.